UGAUUGAGUUUGAUCCUGGCUCAGGAUGAACGCUGGCGGUGUGGAUAAGGCAUGCAAGUCAAGGGGCCCGCAAGGGCACCGGCGAACGAGGUAGUAACACGUGGGAACAUACCCUUUAGUCAGGAAUAACUAGUCGAAAGAUUAGCUAAUACUUGAUAGUCUCUUCGGAGUAAAGAUUUAUCGCUAAAGGAAUGGCCUGCGGAGUAUCAGCUAGUUGGUAGGGUAAUGGCCUACCAAGGCUAUGACGCUUAGGGGAGGUGAGAGCCUGGCCCCCAUCGAUGGUACUGAGACACGGACCAUACACCUACGGGUGGCUGCAGCCGAGAAUAUUCGACAAUGGGCGAAAGCCUGAUCGAGCGACACCGCGUGAUGGAUGAAGUCCCUCUGGGACGUAAACAUCUUUUAUGAGGGAGAAAGUUUAUUGAUAGUACCUCACGAAUAAGGGGUUGCUAAACUCGUGCCAGC
Molecule: ribosomal RNA, 465 nt
Filed under: uncultured bacterium
Lineage: Bacteria
Description: bacterial SSU rRNA
Rfam family: Bacterial small subunit ribosomal RNA
Source: RNAcentral